This 857-nucleotide ribosomal RNA is filed under the name uncultured Flavobacteriaceae bacterium. RNAcentral describes it as "bacterial SSU rRNA". It matches the Rfam family "Bacterial small subunit ribosomal RNA", at positions 38 to 885 of the family's 1533-position model. The record is from RNAcentral. Lineage: Bacteria; Pseudomonadati; Bacteroidota; Flavobacteriia; Flavobacteriales; Flavobacteriaceae.
AGCGGCAGGCCUUAUACAUGCAAGUCGAGGGGCAGCAUAGAUUGCUUGCAAUCUGAUGGCGACCGGCGAACGGGUGCGUAACGCGUAUGCAACUUACCUUUUACUAGGAGAUAGCCAAGAGAAAUUUUGAUUAAUAUCCUAUACAAUUAUUUUUUCGCAUGAAUUAAUAAUAAAAGCUCAGGCGGUAAAAGAUGGGCAUGCGUCCUAUUAGCUAGUAGGUGAGGUAAAGGCUCACCUAAGCAACGAUAGGUAGGGGUCCUGAGAGGGAGAUCCCCCACACUGGUACUGAGACACGGACCAGACUUCUACGGAAGGCAGCAGUAAGGAAUAUUGGACAAUGGAGGCAACUCUGAUCCAGCCAUGCCGCGUGCAGGAAGACGGCCUUAUGGGUUGUAAACUGCUUUUAUACAGGAAGAAACCUGCUCACGUGUGAGCAGCUGACGGUACUGUAAGAAUAAGGAUCGGCUAACUCCGUGCCAGCAGCCGCGGUAAUACGGAGGAUCCAAGCGUUAUCCGGAAUUAUUGGGUUUAAAGGGUCCGCAGGCUGUUUGUUAAGUCAGAGGUGAAAUCCUACCGCUCAACGGUAGAACUGCCUUUGAUACUGACAAACUUGAGUUAUUGUGAAGUAAUUAGAAUGUGUAGUGUAGCGGUGAAAUGCAUAGAUAUUACACAGAAUACCGAUUGCGAAAGCAGAUUACUAACAAUAUACUGACGCUGAGGGACGAAAGCGUAGGUAGCGAACAGGAUUAGAUACCCUGGUAGUCUACGCCGUAAACGAUGGUCACUAGCUGUUCGAUAUACAUUGGUAUGUUGAGUGGCUAAGCGAAAGUGAUAAGUGACCCACCUGGGGAGUACGC